RNAcentral lists this ribosomal RNA (2905 nucleotides) under Salmonella enterica subsp. enterica serovar Newport str. USMARC-S3124.1. Its description in RNAcentral is "bacterial LSU rRNA". It matches the Rfam family "Bacterial large subunit ribosomal RNA". Lineage: Bacteria; Pseudomonadati; Pseudomonadota; Gammaproteobacteria; Enterobacterales; Enterobacteriaceae. The record is from RNAcentral.
UUAAGCGACUAAGCGUACACGGUGGAUGCCCUGGCAGUCAGAGGCGAUGAAGGGCGUGCUAAUCUGCGAUAAGCGCCGGUAAGGUGAUAUGAACCGUUAUAACCGGCGAUACCCGAAUGGGGAAACCCAGUGUGACUCGUCACACUAUCAUUAACUGAAUCCAUAGGUUAAUGAGGCGAACCGGGGGAACUGAAACAUCUAAGUACCCCGAGGAAAAGAAAUCAACCGAGAUUCCCCCAGUAGCGGCGAGCGAACGGGGAGGAGCCCAGAGCCUGAAUCAGCAUGUGUGUUAGUGGAAGCGUCUGGAAAGGCGCGCGAUACAGGGUGACAGCCCCGUACACAAAAGCGCAUGUGCUGUGAGCUCGAUGAGUAGGGCGGGACACGUGGUAUCCUGUCUGAAUAUGGGGGGACCAUCCUCCAAGGCUAAAUACUCCUGACUGACCGAUAGUGAACCAGUACCGUGAGGGAAAGGCGAAAAGAACCCCGGCGAGGGGAGUGAAAAAGAACCUGAAACCGUGUACGUACAAGCAGUGGGAGCACAGGUUUACCUGUGUGACUGCGUACCUUUUGUAUAAUGGGUCAGCGACUUAUAUUCUGUAGCAAGGUUAACCGAAUAGGGGAGCCGGAGGGAAACCGAGUCUUAAUUGGGCGUUAAGUUGCAGGGUAUAGACCCGAAACCCGGUGAUCUAGCCAUGGGCAGGUUGAAGGUUGGGUAACACUAACUGGAGGACCGAACCGACUAAUGUUGAAAAAUUAGCGGAUGACCUGUGGCUGGGGGUGAAAGGCCAAUCAAACCGGGAGAUAGCUGGUUCUCCCCGAAAGCUAUUUAGGUAGCGCCUCGUGAACUCAUCUCCGGGGGUAGAGCACUGUUUCGGCUAGGGGGCCAUCCCGGCUUACCAACCCGAUGCAAACUGCGAAUACCGGAGAAUGUUAUCACGGGAGACACACGGCGGGUGCUAACGUCCGUCGUGAAGAGGGAAACAACCCAGACCGCCAGCUAAGGUCCCAAAGUCAUGGUUAAGUGGGAAACGAUGUGGGAAGGCCCAGACAGCCAGGAUGUUGGCUUAGAAGCAGCCAUCAUUUAAAGAAAGCGUAAUAGCUCACUGGUCGAGUCGGCCUGCGCGGAAGAUGUAACGGGGCUAAACCAUGCACCGAAGCUGCGGCAGCGAACACUGUGGUGUUGUUGGGUAGGGGAGCGUUCUGUAAGCCUGUGAAGGUGGCCUGUGAGGGUUGCUGGAGGUAUCAGAAGUGCGAAUGCUGACAUAAGUAACGAUAAAGCGGGUGAAAAGCCCGCUCGCCGGAAGACCAAGGGUUCCUGUCCAACGUUAAUCGGGGCAGGGUGAGUCGACCCCUAAGGCGAGGCCGAAAGGCGUAGUCGAUGGGAAACAGGUUAAUAUUCCUGUACUUGGUGUUACUGCGAAGGGGGGACGGAGAAGGCUAUGUUGGCCGGGCGACGGUUGUCCCGGUUUAAGCGUGUAGGCUGGUUUUCCAGGCAAAUCCGGAAAAUCAAGGCUGAGGCGUGACGACGAGGCACUACGGUGCUGAAGCAACAAAUGCCCUGCUUCCAGGAAAAGCCUCUAAGCAUCAGGUAACAUCAAAUCGUACCCCAAACCGACACAGGUGGUCAGGUAGAGAAUACCAAGGCGCUUGAGAGAACUCGGGUGAAGGAACUAGGCAAAAUGGUGCCGUAACUUCGGGAGAAGGCACGCUGACACGUAGGUGAAGUGAUUUACUCAUGGAGCUGAAGUCAGUCGAAGAUACCAGCUGGCUGCAACUGUUUAUUAAAAACACAGCACUGUGCAAACACGAAAGUGGACGUAUACGGUGUGACGCCUGCCCGGUGCCGGAAGGUUAAUUGAUGGGGUCAGCGCAAGCGAAGCUCCUGAUCGAAGCCCCGGUAAACGGCGGCCGUAACUAUAACGGUCCUAAGGUAGCGAAAUUCCUUGUCGGGUAAGUUCCGACCUGCACGAAUGGCGUAAUGAUGGCCAGGCUGUCUCCACCCGAGACUCAGUGAAAUUGAACUCGCUGUGAAGAUGCAGUGUACCCGCGGCAAGACGGAAAGACCCCGUGAACCUUUACUAUAGCUUGACACUGAACAUUGAGCCUUGAUGUGUAGGAUAGGUGGGAGGCUUUGAAGCGUGGACGCCAGUCUGCGUGGAGCCGACCUUGAAAUACCACCCUUUAAUGUUUGAUGUUCUAACGUGGACCCGUUACCCGGGUUGCGGACAGUGUCUGGUGGGUAGUUUGACUGGGGCGGUCUCCUCCUAAAGAGUAACGGAGGAGCACGAAGGUUGGCUAAUCCUGGUCGGACAUCAGGAGGUUAGUGCAAUGGCAUAAGCCAGCUUGACUGCGAGCGUGACGGCGCGAGCAGGUGCGAAAGCAGGUCAUAGUGAUCCGGUGGUUCUGAAUGGAAGGGCCAUCGCUCAACGGAUAAAAGGUACUCCGGGGAUAACAGGCUGAUACCGCCCAAGAGUUCAUAUCGACGGCGGUGUUUGGCACCUCGAUGUCGGCUCAUCACAUCCUGGGGCUGAAGUAGGUCCCAAGGGUAUGGCUGUUCGCCAUUUAAAGUGGUACGCGAGCUGGGUUUAGAACGUCGUGAGACAGUUCGGUCCCUAUCUGCCGUGGGCGCUGGAGAACUGAGGGGGGCUGCUCCUAGUACGAGAGGACCGGAGUGGACGCAUCACUGGUGUUCGGGUUGUCAUGCCAAUGGCACUGCCCGGUAGCUAAAUGCGGAAGAGAUAAGUGCUGAAAGCAUCUAAGCACGAAACUUGCCCCGAGAUGAGUUCUCCCUGAGACUUAGAGUCUCCUGAAGGAACGUUGAAGACGACGACGUUGAUAGGCCGGGUGUGUAAGCGCAGCGAUGCGUUGAGCUAACCGGUACUAAUGAACCGUGAGGCUUAACCUU